GACACGUCUUUGAUGGAAAGUGAAAGCAUUUCUCACAGACGUAACACUCUACAGACCAACAAUCCUCAAGUUUUUCUUCUGUGUUUUGUGUUUUGUUAAAGUACAGCAGGUUCAGAAAGAUGUACCAGGUUUUCUUUCCUCAAAAGGGAAAUCUAAGACCAUUAGAUGUGGCAGCUUCAAGAGAAGAAUUUGAUAACACCACCGUUCGGGAGUUAACGACAAAAAUUUGCACUGCACUAGUUGGAGAGCCGAGAGGCAUGAAUAACCUUACAGUGUAUUUUGAGGAAACAUCUUUAAAAAAUGAUCAAACACUUGGCUUUUAUAAUAUUCAACCUUCAUCGACUCUUGGAUUAGGUUAUUGGGAGCUCCAUUCACUAGUGCUGCCUAUUGAUGAUGAUGAUCGUUUGCCCCGGGCGGAUUCUCUGGAAUUGUUAAAGCUUAACAUGUAGCUCUGUGACAUUCGCUUGGACUUGAGAAGAAACAAGGUGGACAAAAUCUAAAUCUAAAAAAUCUAAAAAAUAUUACACAAUUCAAACAUGUUCUGUCUGUCUGUUCACUGCAAUGAGAUUGUUGUUUCUGUCUAAUGUUUGAGGUUUUUCUCCCUGUGUGUUUCAAUGGUUUGCUUUAAUUUGAACAGACAUUGAUCAGGUUUAUGAAUGAUAUGCCAUAUAAAAGAGACAGAAAGAUAAAACCCAUUCUAGGCAGAGACACGUAACAUCUAUAACAGUGAUCUAUAACAUUUUAGUGUCUCAGUGUGUAACAUUGUCAAUAAACACCAAAUCUCAUGAUACCGUCAGGCAAACACAUAUUUGUAACAUGAAGACAGAAGUAUUUUGUUUUCUUAUCUUUUGCAUUCAUUUUAUAUUCACCUGAAGUGUUUUCCAAGUUUUUAUCAAGUGUUAUCCAUGCAUGGGCAUGCUGUCUAAUGCACUUUGCAACCGAAUACUGACAUUAACAUUUCAAAGAAAAUCUAUACUGUCAUAUUUUGUAUAGCCUUUUGUACACAUGAUAGCAAAACAGCUUUGCAGAACAUUAGUGAAAGAAUCAUGUCUUCUUUGAAGCUAAAAUAUAAUGAAUAAAAUGAAAAGAUGGUGUUCCUGUUCAUAUUAUUUGACAUAUCACUGUACUCUCGUCUCUAUAGACUAACAUUGUCAAGGUAACCAGUAGUGCAAAUUUCAAUUUUUCUAUUUCUAAAAAAGAUUAGCCGAUUUUAUCGAUAUUUUUGUUGAAAUGAAUGUGAACUUUAUUCUUUGAGCCUCAACUGUAUUCUUGUUAAACUCUCUUAAUAUGUUACAAACAUUGCCAUGUUGUUUUCAAAGGCUUGUGUUUUUGGACAACAGCUAAAUAAAAUAAAACAUCUAUACU
Triplophysa rosa is the source of this 1365-nucleotide long non-coding RNA. RefSeq lists it as uncharacterized. The record is from RefSeq and is a predicted model, not a curated record. The transcript has 3 exons. NCBI's taxonomy places the organism in Eukaryota, Metazoa, Chordata, Actinopteri, Cypriniformes, Nemacheilidae.